UGGCUUAGUGGUAAAGCGCUUGGCUUCUGAACUGGGGGUCCCGGGUUCGAAUCCUGG
This 57-nucleotide transfer RNA is filed under the name Biomphalaria glabrata. It matches the Rfam family "tRNA", at positions 8 to 63 of the family's 71-position model. Rfam says of the family: Transfer RNA (tRNA) molecules are approximately 80 nucleotides in length. Their secondary structure includes four short double-helical elements and three loops (D, anti-codon, and T loops). Lineage: Eukaryota; Metazoa; Mollusca; Gastropoda; Planorbidae. The record is from Rfam by way of RNAcentral.